AAAGUCGUAACAAGGUUUCCGUAGGUGAACCUGCGGAAGGAUCAUUAACACAAAUCCAAAACCUAAAACUUGUUCUUUGAGUGUUGUGGGAGAAUACUUGUAUUAUCCCCAGCACAUCUUUAAACCUAUUCUCUAAACCGAGGAUAACUAAGCUAUAAAAAACUAAGAAAAUUUUCAACGAUGGAUAUCUUGGUUCCCAUGACGAUGAUGAACGCAGCGAAAUGCGAUACGCAAUGCGAAUUGCAGAAUUCCUUGAAUCAUCAGAUUUUCGAACGCAACCCGCGCUCAAGGCUUGCCUAUGAGCAUGUUUGUUUCAGUAUCUAGAAUAUCACAAAUCACAAUAUGAUUGACAAAACUUACUUCGGUAAACGGCGUCUUUCAUCAAGUUAGAAUAAAUUCUUAUUUUUGCCCAAUGAAGCAGUCACAUUUAUUUGUGAUCUCAUUGCGAACGAAAUAAUGAGUUUAUAGAUAACAAAAUUUCUUCCUUUUGUAUCUGAAAUCAAGCAAGAUUACCCGCUGAACUUAAGCAUAUCAAUA
RNAcentral lists this ribosomal RNA (537 nucleotides) under uncultured eukaryote. RNAcentral describes it as "eukaryotic LSU rRNA". The stretch from base 170 to 322 matches the Rfam family "5.8S ribosomal RNA". The record is from RNAcentral.